Molecule: non-coding RNA, 1188 nt
Organism: Physcomitrium patens
Lineage: Eukaryota; Viridiplantae; Streptophyta; Bryopsida; Funariales; Funariaceae
Source: RefSeq, a predicted model, not a curated record
UAGCUGUAAAGAAGUUUGAAGUAUACGUGGUAAACAAGAUUGAAUAGAUUAAACUUUAUAAAAACAUGAAUAAUUUUUUACUUUUAAAACUUGAAAUAAAUUGAUAUGUGUAAACAAUUUUUUUAAAUUUUAAUCACACAUUUUGAAUACUAAAAAGUAUAUUGUAAUUACUUUAAUGUUUUCAUAAUCAAAAUAUGUAAAAAAAAAAUCAACUAUCAGAAGAAGUAUAUAAUUAGAGAUUAUGGAUGUUGAAUUUUUGUGCUACCAACACAUUUUUAUGUUGUAAAUUUCAUACAUGACAUCAUAUUUAUAUUCAUCUGAUCAUAUGAUUUUAAAGUGAACUAACAUAAAUAGCACAAAUUACUCAUAAUUUCAUGUACACCUCUUGACCAUACAAUUAAUAUCCAAGAGUUGGCACCUCUAAGAUUUCAUCUCUUUCAUCAAAUUUCAUGUUCCUGCACUUACAAUCCUCAAGAAGCAAGGUGGUGGUUCAAUGUGUCCCUUCUACAUGUUACUUGGGUUCAUCCUCAGCAUCCAAUUUUACUCAUAUUUUGGUCUGAUGCAUUUGAAGCUUCAUGUGUGGACAACAUUGACACAAAUUAGAAAUAAAAAUGAUUUUCAACAAGAAGAGUCAAUGGAAAAAACUGCACGUACCUUGCCUUCAUCUGUUGAUGAAACAAUAGACAGUAACCCUAAUUUGAAUUCACAGUUGCAGUGGAUUUCUUUCAUCCAUGAUUUUUAGGAAUCAACACAAAGCCGAUUUGUUCGACUUCCAAAUGAAAUAAAGUCCACUGGAACCUUUCAUGAUUUAUUUUCAAAUCCCAUAUUCUUCAAUUUGACACACUUGCAUUGUAAACACACUAAUGAUGGAUUGAUAUGCACACAAAAUUAUGUAAAAAAAUUAAAAAAAUUAAAAAAUAAAACUAGUUUAUCAACACUUACAUGAGGUUUGCAUGUCACCAAUAAUGACAAGUAGCGAUUCCCACAGAACUCAGAUUGUGUUGCAUGUGCAGGUACUGAGGAUUUGAAGACGAUUCAAGCAUGAAAUUCAAACCUGUGGUGAUGUUUAGAGCAGGAGCAGCGGUCACAGUCACUUUAGUGUCGAAGGUAGCCACCGCGUUAGCCUCCUCAGCAUGUAACGUUGGCACUGCUGCGGUCGCAGCGACAGCUGCUGCAGCAGCUGCUUCU